Molecule: microRNA precursor, 76 nt
Filed under: Haemonchus placei
Lineage: Eukaryota; Metazoa; Nematoda; Chromadorea; Rhabditida; Trichostrongylidae
Description: mir-5928 microRNA precursor family
Rfam family: mir-5928 microRNA precursor family
Source: Rfam by way of RNAcentral
GGCUCCAAAUUUGAAGUAGUGUAGUUUAGUACGAUCAGUUGACCCUAGUAAACUUCUUUACUUUAAGUUUGUGCCC